RNAcentral lists this non-coding RNA (53 nucleotides) under unclassified sequences. RNAcentral describes it as "Li+-I sequence". It matches the Rfam family "nhaA-I RNA". From Rfam's summary of the family: Acidobacteria, Alphaproteobacteria, Betaproteobacteria and Gammaproteobacteria, Verrucomicrobia, cand. division NC10. Downstream gene The record is from Rfam by way of RNAcentral.
GGGUCUGGGGGAGCUAUCUCCUAGAGGCAAACUGGAUGGUCGGGCCGCCAUCC